Long non-coding RNA from Vanessa tameamea, 571 nucleotides. RefSeq lists it as uncharacterized. Lineage: Eukaryota; Metazoa; Arthropoda; Insecta; Lepidoptera; Nymphalidae. The record is from RefSeq and is a predicted model, not a curated record. The transcript is spliced from 2 exons.
AAAUAUCAUCUUUUGGUUACAUAAUAAUUAUAAUUGUGCAAAUCGACAUUUUUCGUAGCUUUAGGUUACAAAUAGAUAAUAAAUCGAUAUAUUGUGAUAUGAAAACCAAAAAUGUUUGAUUGGUUUAUCUUAUCUUUUUAGACAUGACACAGUUCAGAUUUUUUGAACAAAUUGUUAAUAUAUUUACUAGCUGUAGGACAGUAAAAAGGUUGUAAAAGGUGACAUUUUAACUAUGGGAAUCUGUUGUAGUAGCCCGUGUAACCUAGUCAGCAGUUUGUGCUGUUGUUGUGGAUGCUGUGGUUGUGACAACAGCGGCGGUGGAGGAGUUACUGUGGUCGAGCAUCCUUCUAACGUGAUGGUGAUCGAAGACGCUCCGGGACCAAUGUAUAGAUGAUCUUCAUAAAUUCUUAUAUCUAUAUUAAAAUGGGUGACAACCCUAAUUUAGAGUUAUGUUUACGUCAAUGCUCUUAUUAAUAUUUAUAUAAUUUCAUUUAUGUUGUAAUAAAUUAUUUUCUAAUAAUAAUCUUCAUUCUUUAGUUGAAUUAUAAAUAAAAUAAUUUUCUUCCUUAAU